AGCUCCAAGAGCGAGCACCAACUUUGCUGCAGUUAAAAAGCUCGUAGUUGAAUUUUUGGAUGGGACUCGUCGUUGGCCUUCAUUGGUCAGACGUUCGCAGUCCCGUUCUUUCGUGGGAUCAAGUGUGUUGCUGCAUUCAUUUGUGACUUCCCGCUCCCCACCUUUUACUGUGAGGAAAUCUGAGUGCUCAACACCUUUUAUUGAAUGAAAGCUUCAGCACGGAAUGAUAAGAUACGACCUGGUUUAUCUUGUUGGUUUAUAAAUCAUGUAAUGAUGAAUAGGAACAGACGGGGGAACUAGUAUUGCGCCGUCAGAGGUGAAAUUCUUGGACCGGCGCAAGACUAACUACAGCGAAAGCAUUUUUCAAGGAUGUUUUCA
RNAcentral lists this ribosomal RNA (378 nucleotides) under uncultured eukaryote. RNAcentral describes it as "SSU rRNA". It matches the Rfam family "Eukaryotic small subunit ribosomal RNA", at positions 587 to 972 of the family's 1831-position model. The record is from RNAcentral.